GACGAACGCUGGCGGCGUGCCUAAUACAUGCAAGUAGAACGCUGAAGGAGGAGCUUGCUCUUCUGGAUGAGUUGCGAACGGGUGAGUAACGCGUAGGUAACCUGCCUGGUAGCGGGGGAUAACUAUUGGAAACGAUAGCUAAUACCGCAUAAGAGUAGAUGUCGCAUGACAUUUGCUUAAAAGGUGCAAUUGCAUCACUACCAGAUGGACCUGCGUUGUAUUAGCUAGUUGGUGAGGUAACGGCUCACCAAGGCAACGAUACAUAGCCGACCUGAGAGGGUGAUCGGCCACACUGGGACUGAGACACGGCCCAGACUCCUACGGGAGGCAGCAGUAGGGAAUCUUCGGCAAUGGACGGAAGUCUGACCGAGCAACGCCGCGUGAGUGAAGAAGGUUUUCGGAUCGUAAAGCUCUGUUGUAAGAGAAGAAACGAGUGUGAGAAGUGGAAAAGCUCAACACUGUGAACGG
Molecule: ribosomal RNA, 468 nt
Filed under: Streptococcus mitis
Lineage: Bacteria; Bacillati; Bacillota; Bacilli; Lactobacillales; Streptococcaceae
Description: bacterial SSU rRNA
Rfam family: Bacterial small subunit ribosomal RNA
Source: RNAcentral